GAACAAUUCGAUGACGAGGCCCAGGAAGCACGCUGAAACCCUGGGCGGCGGCAAGCUGUGCGACCUCUUCUGCGGCCGGCCUGGGCAGGUGUCUUCCUCGAGAGGCAGGCAGGGGAUCCCGGACACUAGCUUUAUCGUCAUCUGGGAAAUUGUUAAAAAUGCAAAUUCGCAAGUUUGAGAGCCAUGGUUCCAAGAAACUGCAUAAGCAUACGAAAUAAGUUGCAGCCUCCCGACUUAUACCCUGGUACUUCUAGUCUAAAACAGGAUUUGACUCUACUAAUCCAGCCUUAUACAGGAUGCUGUGUUCUUUGCUCCUUUGUGAAUGUCUGUUGCUGGUAGCUGGUUAUGCUCAUGAUGAUGACUGGAUUGACCCCACAGACAUGCUUAACUAUGAUGCUGCUUCAGGAACAAUGAGAAAAUCUCAGGCAAAAUAUGGUAUUUCAGGGGAAAAGGAUGUCAGUCCUGACUUGUCAUGUGCUGAUGAAAUAUCAGAAUGUUAUCACAAACUUGAUUCUUUAACUUAUAAGAUUGAUGAGUGUGAAAAGAAAAAGAGGGAAGACUAUGAAAGUCAAAGCAAUCCUGUUUUUAGGAGAUACUUAAAUAAGAUUUUAAUUGAAGCUGGAAAGCUUGGACUUAGACCACCUGACUGACUCUUUAACCAGAAGCUAUUCAUUCAGGAUUAAAGGCACUACUAUACUGCUUUGCAGUGGUCUGGUGGAAGAUGAGCAGUGCAGACCGCUCUUUCUCCUCUAGUUUGUAUGGAUUUACUUACUCAGCUCUGUGCACUGCUCCACCAGUUAAUGGAGCCUGAUGAAAACAAAGGCGAUAUGCAUUAUGAUGCUGAGAUUAUCCUUAAAAGAGAAACUUUGUUAGAAAUACAGAAGUUUCUCAAUGGAGAAGACUGGAAACCAGGUGCCUUGGAUGAUGCACUAAGUGAUAUUUUAAUUAAUUUUAAGUUUCAUGAUUUUGAAACAUGGAAGUGGCGAUUCGAAGAUUCCUUUGGAGUGGAUCCAUAUAAUGUGUUAAUGGUACUUCUUUGUCUGCUCUGCAUCGUGGUUUUAGUGGCUACUGAGCUGUGGACAUAUGUACGUUGGUACACUCAGUUGAGACGUGUUUUAAUCAUCAGCUUUCUGUUCAGUUUGGGAUGGAAUUGGAUGUAUUUAUAUAAGCUAGCUUUUGCACAGCAUCAGGCUGAAGUCGCCAAGAUGGAGCCAUUAAACAAUGUGUGUGCCAAAAAGAUGGACUGGACUGGAAGUAUCUGGGAAUGGUUUAGAAGUUCAUGGACCUAUAAGGAUGACCCAUGCCAAAAAUACUAUGAGCUCUUACUAGUCAACCCUAUUUGGUUGGUCCCACCAACAAAGGCACUUGCAGUUACAUUCACCACAUUUGUAACGGAGCCAUUGAAGCAUAUUGGAAAAGGAACUGGGGAAUUUAUUAAAGCACUCAUGAAGGAAAUUCCAGCGCUGCUUCAUCUUCCAGUGCUGAUAAUUAUGGCAUUAGCCAUCCUGGAAAGUUAUGCUCUUUGACUUUUGCUGCUUUUGUCUUCAAAUAGUAGUGUUUGAAAAACUAGUACAGAAAUUUUCAAAGUUUCUGUUCUCAGGACCUCUUUGCAGUCUUAAAAAUUGAAGCCCACAAACAGCUCUUACUUAAGAGUUUCUGCUAUGGUGCUGGAAAAUCAGUUCAUGUGCUGAGACAUAUAGGCGGUCCUGAGAGCGAACCUCCCCAGGCACUUCGGCCACGGGAUAGAAGACGGCAGGAGGAAAUUGAUUAUAGACCUGAUGGUGGAGCAGGUGAUGCCGAUUUCCAUUAUAGGGGCCAAAUGGGCCCCACUGAGCAAGGCCCUUAUGCCAAAACGUAUGAGGGUAGAAGAGAGAUUUUGAGAGAGAGAGAUGUUGACUUGAGAUUUCAGACUGGCAACAAGAGCCCUGAAGUGCUCCGGGCAUUUGAUGUACCAGACGCAGAGGCACGAGAGCAUCCCACGGUGGUACCCAGUCAUAAAUCACCUGUUUUGGAUACAAAGCCCAAGGAGACAGGUGGAAUCCUGGGGGAAGGCACACCGAAAGAAAGCAGUACUGAAAGCAGCCAGUCGGCCAAGCCUGUCUCUGGCCAAGACACAUCAGGGAAUACAGAAGGUUCACCCGCAGCGGAAAAGGCCCAGCUCAAGUCUGAAGCCGCAGGCAGCCCAGACCAAGGCAGCACAUACAGCCCCGCAAGAGGUGUGGCUGGACCACGUGGACAGGAUCCGGUCAGCAGCCCCUGUGGCUAGAGGAACACCAGCACAAACGACAGCCUCAAGUCUCCUUCGAGCUUUGUAAAAUAUCCAUUUGGGGAUGAAGUCUACUUUGACAGCUAGCAAGGCGACAUGCAACUGUUGUUGAAUGAUGACAGCAAUUCAGGAAAGACUUAAAUAUGAAAGCAAAUUGAACACAUCGGGUGUUUGUUAUCAGAAAAGAGAUGAGAUGAGAUAAGACUUGUUUAUUGACUAGCCAAUAUGUCAUUAAAAUUAAGGUUUAUAUUGUGAAGCUUUUUUGAAAUUUUACUUUUUUUUGAGAGUUUUGCUCUGUCACCCAGGCUGGAGUGAGGUGGUACAAUCUCGGCUCACUGCAACCUCCACCUCCCAGGUUCAAGAGAUUCUCCUGCCUCAGUCUCCCGAGUAGCUAGGAUUACAGAUGUGCAUCACCAUGCCUGGCUAAUUUUUGUAUUUUUUAGUAGAGAUGGGGUUUCACCAUGUUGGUCAGGCUGGUCUCGAACUCCUGACCUCAAGUGACCCGCCCUUGUCGGCCUCCCAAAGUGCUGGGAUUACAGGCAUGAGCCAUUGUGCCCAGCCUAUAUAGUGUGAAGCUUUUAGGAAAAUCAGAACAGGGUAGACAGCUGUUAAAAACAAUGUUUAAAUGGAAUAAUGUUGAAUGUUUACAGGCUGUAAGAACUAUUGUAUACACAAAAUAAUACACAAAGUUUGUACUUUGUGUACAAAUACAAAUUUGUACUUUGUGUACAAAUAAUACAAAAAGUUUGUAUACACAAACUUUUUACGUUGUGGUUUGGUAUAUUGUCUUAACUGAAUUUUCUUAUAAGAACCCCAUGAAACUUACCUGAGUUUUUAAAAUGCUAUCCAGGACAUCAUACCUUAUAGUAUACAUGAAACAUAAUGUAAUCCAGGUUGUAAUUUAGAACUUUUUUUUUUUUUUUAGCUGAGCACUUAAUGUAAUUAAUUCCAGGUUAUGACUCUUAAAAAACAUUGGCCAUUAGAGAAAUAGUUCUAUUUGCCCAUCCAAAUCACCUGAAUGACUUUUUGAAAGAAUAGGGGUCCACAUCCCCAGAUCCCAUCCCAGCUGUGCACAGUCUGAAGCAAGCAGAGUGAAACAAGUUGGCAACUUGUUCCAAGCGUGGGCCUUUGCAGUCUGUGAUCCAGUGUUACUCCAGGUCCCAGUCUGUCCCAUACUUGUCUUUUGCUACAGUUAGUUAGUUACUUUGUUAUCAUCCCCUUGUAAACUGCCUUCAAUAUCUGGGAUAAGGAAGACAAAGCUUAAUGACAACUAAGGUUCUAGCUGACAUCUUUCUUUCAUAUUUAAUUUUUGUGAGUUUUCAUCUGUUUUCUGUUUGUUUAUGUGUCCUAGGUUCUUGACCUAACCACAUGGGUUUUGUUUUUUGUUUUUAUAUUAGAACUUAGAAAAGUUUGUUUUACAGCAGUAUUAUGGAACAGAAGAGACCAUUUUAAAUAAUUUUUUUAAACAGCCCAAAACACACAAAAGAUACUUGUUUUCUAGAGACAGGGUCUUGCUCUGUCACCCAGGCUGGAGUGCAGUGGCACGAUCAUAGCUCAGUGCAGCCUCCACCUCCUGGGCUCAAGUGGUCCUCCUGCCUCAGCCUCUUAAGCAGUUGGGACUACAGGUGUGUGCCAGCAUGCUUGCUGUUUUUUUUUUUUUUGAGACAGAGUCUUGCUCUGUCACUCAGGCUGGAGUCCAGUGGCUUGGUCUCAGCUCACUGCAAUCUCUGCCUCCCAGGGGUUCAAGUGAUUCUCCUGCCUCAGCCUCCCAAGUAGCUGAAACUACAGGCGCAUGCCACCAUGCCCAGCUAAUUUUUGUAUUUUUAGUAGAGACAGGGUUUCACUAUGUUGGCCAGGCUGGUCUCAAACUCCCGACCUCAAGUGAUCCGCCCGCUUCGGCCUCCCAAAGUGCUGGGAUUACAGGUGUGAGCCACUGCGCCUGGCUGCUGAUUUAUUUUUCAUAGACACGGGGGUCUAUGUUGCCCAGGUUGGUCUUGAACUCCUAGCCUCAAGCGAUCCUCCUGCCUCAGCCUCCCAAUGUGCUGGGAUUACAGGAAUGAGCCACCAUGCCCAGCCCAAGAAGUAGAGUUUCUUUUAUACUGACUUUGGCCUAAAAAAACAGAUUUUCAUGGAGGAAAAAAAAACCUAGAUUUUUAGUAAGACUAUUUUAUAUACUUUUUUACAUUGAUCAAGUACAUUAUUUUUACCAAACAACAUUGUUUCCCACUACAUCCAUGGUUAUGUAUAAAAAAACGCCAUUGUCAAUUAAGAUGUUAAAAAAUUAUUUCCAUAAGAGUAUUAAAUUCUAAUCUAUGAUUCACUUAACUUCCUACUUUAUAAACACUAGGUAAAGUAAUCUCACAAGCUGCCAAAGAACACAUCCCAAGCAGUAAUCACAGACGAUGAAGCACCUUACAGGACCCCUCCACCCUCAAACGCGCAUGUCCAGAGAAGUAUUAAUGCCUUAAUAGACUACUGAAGGUUAACUAUUUACAUCAUUCUAAAAAUAUUUUAAGCUGUAUUACAGUGCUAUAAAUUCUCCUUUUAAGGAAAAAAGUAAUAGAUUGUUUCCUUACCGUGUUUGAAAGGAAAAAAAAUAAAUCCAUAGUAACUAAUGGUCUGCCGAUUUUUUCCCUGAAUUUUUAAACUCCAACAAAGCAUUAUUUUGCAAAAAGUCCUUUAGCCCAAAGUCAGUGUCUCUGUUUUGAUCUCUUUGUAAAAGAACUCUCUGUUCAUCCAUUCUCUUUCCCUGGGACCGUAAAAUAAGGCUGAAAAAGUCUUCAUCUGGUACUGUCGGACCCUUUGUGGUAGCAGGUGGUGGAGCACAUCUUUGAUCAUCUAAUCUGGAUCCCUAGAAGUUUAUGAGAGAGAUUAAAAGACAUACUGUGGGAAAGAAAGCACCAAGCUAUGUUAAAUCUCUCAGUCACAACAAGAAAACGCAGUUGUAAACUUUUAUUUGGGGCUUCUCAGAAAUUAAUCUUUGUUUUUAUAUUGUUCUCUUUAGUUCCCAGCCUGAUUUCUGAAAGAAAUAAUCUUUAAACCUGAAA
Homo sapiens (human) is the source of this 5313-nucleotide RNA transcript. It is a transcript of the gene named chloride channel CLIC like 1, with no coding region annotated. The record is from RefSeq and is marked validated. The transcript has 15 exons. NCBI's taxonomy places the organism in Eukaryota, Metazoa, Chordata, Mammalia, Primates, Hominidae.